AUGCCUAAUGAUAAAGCUAUUAAUAUUUCAUCAUAAUUACCUUAAUUUAGUUAUAAAAAUGGAAUUAUGAUAUAAU
Molecule: non-coding RNA, 76 nt
Organism: Parvimonas sp. oral taxon 110
Lineage: Bacteria; Bacillati; Bacillota; Tissierellia; Tissierellales; Peptoniphilaceae
Source: Rfam